CCUCAGGGUAAUCAACAUUUCUGGUAUGUUUACUUUUAUUUCUUUUUCAUUUUUGUUUUCUUUUUUUGUUCCAUGUUGCUUUUGUUUUCCUUAUUACUUUCAGAUUCAUAUCGUCUAUGAGUUGAAUUUGUUUAAGUUUCAGCUUGGCCCAUCCAAGCAAAUUUGGUCUCAAGGCUUAGUAGAGUGUUGAGUUAUCUAACCUUAUAUAGAGUUCUAAUAGCUCUUUUCUACUUUUGAUCACCUAACUUAUUUUUCUGACGAAAUUUAGAUCAAAUUCUCCUCUAACACUUUAAAUACUUUGACUCAAAUCAUGCGAGGAGAGUGUGGCCAAAAGCUUUGAAACAUAGACCCAAAGAUGAGUUUGGUGGCAUGCAGAUGUGAAAUAUUGACAUAGAGGGGGUGAUGGGAAAAAGUAUAAUUUUGUGGUACGGUACUUAUUUGUUGAGGCAUGAAGUUGUGGUUUCAAGUGUCAAGCAAAGUAACUUUAUCUUAUAGGCUAGCUUGUGUGAACUGAUGCUUAGAUGCUGCAUAAUUUGCAGGAUCUUUAUAAAUUGUUUUACUUUGUAAGAAUCUCUCUAUAUGCUUGUGUUU
RNAcentral lists this unclassified non-coding RNA (591 nucleotides) under Hevea brasiliensis (rubber tree). Lineage: Eukaryota; Viridiplantae; Streptophyta; Magnoliopsida; Malpighiales; Euphorbiaceae. The record is from RNAcentral.